CAUAUCAUAUCAUGACAAACACACAUACUCAAAGUGGUAAAUUCUAAGCAUAUGCAUUCAACUCUUGAACUAGCAUGUAGGAAUGUUAACUAAAAUUGCAUCAAAUCAUAAUAUAACAUCAAUCCAUACAAGAUUGGUUAGUGUUUUCAACCCUAACCCCAACAAAGUACUACUCACUCAUAAUUACAUAAACAAACUUCAUAAUCAAAUUAAACAUCAAAAUAGAUCUAGAGUUUAAGAGAGAGAGAGUUGGCUUAGUGGUGUGUUGAUUGAUCCCCAAGCUCACGUCUUGGUGGUACGUGGUGGUGAUGAAGGUGAUUUCCUCUCCUUCUUGCUCAUGUUGUUUGAUGACAAGAGAUGGUGAAGCUUGAUCUAUGCUUUGUGUGAAUAGGUGGAGUGGAUGGAGAAAAUGGUAUAGAUAAGAGAAUGGAGAAAUGGUGUAGUGGUGGUGGUGUUAAUGGAGGUUUGGGUAAGAGAUGGUGGUAGUGAUGGAGGAGAUAGAGUAGAUUGGGGGAGGAAGAGGAAAAAGAUGGGUUUGGAUUUUGGGAGAGGGAGAUGGAGGUUUUGUGGUGGAAAAGAGAGAAAAAGGUAGAGAGUGGUGAAUGGGUGGAUGAUGAAUGUUGUAGUGGAUAGAUGUAUGUUUAUUAUAUAGAAGAAAGAUAAGUGAAAAUGGGGGAAUGAGAAAGUCAAAACAGCCCCCUUCCCUAAUUCAACUGUAAGGGAGAAGGAAGAGUGUGAGAGUGUCCAUGAAUUGCCAAAAAAAAGAUAAAAAUGUAGGGAAAUAAUCGCAUAGGUUAGAGUAGGCAAUGAUGAUGUUUAAAGCAUGGUGAUGUCUAUUAUCCAAAGAGUAAUAGAAUGAAUUUCAUGUUGUUACUCAAUCACCAUUAAUCUCCUUGCUCCUCCUUUAUGGUGACUGGAAAAGACAUGACACCACCAAAAGAGGUGGUGAGCCGUCAUUUGUGCAGUCAAUAGUGGUGGUUCGCCGGAAUCCGAAAAUCUACGUUUUGCUUCACAUUGGACCGUCAUUUUUCCUAGCUCCGAUUCUCCAUGUUAAUGCCAAAAAUGCAUAUUUUCAUCACUCUUGCAAUAUUCCUAGAUAAAUAGAAAAUGAUUUAGUGAAAGAAAAAAUGAACUCAAAAACAAGGCAAAUUCAAUAUUUAGGGGAAUGAAAAUGUGUGUAAAUUAUGGUCUAACACAUACCCAAUGGACUAAUCGAGAUCACAUCACAGGGACCAAUUGCCACUAAUCUUUUCAAAUCUUUCAUGUACUCUCAUUUCGAUGGGAUCAAAUGGUAGCCUUAUCACAAGUAAUUGUUAUCAUGUAACAAUAAUUAAGAGACUGAAGAAAGAAUAAACCCCUCAGAAUUCAGGGCAGGACAGCAUGAAACCUUAGUCAAAAAUGGUUCCUCAACCUCAAGAAAAGAGGGAGCACCAAUAUUUUGACAUGAGUUUUCACGCAUAUCUCGCUCAGAUUCUUACUGGUUUCUUCUUCAUCAUAUUUAAAGGACUAAUCGAGAUCAAAUCACAGGGACCAAUUGCCACUAAUCUUUUCAAAUCUUUCAUGUACCCUCAUAUCUAUGGGAUCAAAUGGCAGCCUUAUCAAGUAAUUGUUACCAUGUAACAAUAAUUAAGGGAUUGAUGAAAGAAGAAACCCUCAGAAUUGGGCAGGACAACAUGAACCUUAGUCAAAAAUAGUUCCUCAACCUCAAGAAAAGAGGGAGCACCAAUAUUUUGACAUGAGAUUUCAGGCAUGUCUCGCUCAGAUUCUUACUGGUUUCUUCUUCAUCAUACCCAAGGGACUAAUCGAGAUCACAUCACACGAACCAGUUGCCACUAAUCUUUUCAAAUCUUUCAUGUACCCUCAUUUUGAUAGGAUCAAAUGGCAGUCUUAUCACAAGUAAUUGUUACCAUGUAACAAUAAUUAAAGGACUGAUGAAAGAAGCAAUUGUUACCAUGAAUGUUGUUUAGCAGUGUUUCUUGUGAUCGGAGAACCCCUCAGAAAAAUCUUAGGGGUUACUUGAAAGAAGAAAGAUAGAACUAAAAGAAGUAACCCCUUAGAAACCAUGAAAGUUAUGCAGGGUUACUUGUGAUCGAAACCGUAAAAAUCUUAGUGAUCAGAACUUCCGUUUUCUUCCCAUGACGGGCGGUCCUCUCCGGCGAGCUACUCUUUCUCCAAUGUUGGCCAUACUAAACCCUAAACGCUCAAAAAUAUAUAGAAGUAUAGCACCAAAAGAAAAAGAAAUAUAUAUUUUUUUUUUGGUCAAGAAAAGAAAAAUAUAUAUAGAGAAGUAGGGAUCAAUAUAUAUACUGUAAUAUCGAUGAGUAAAGACAAUAGAAACUCACAUCAAUUAGGGUUCUCACAUCCUAUUAUAUGAUUCUGUUAGGAUCAGAAUCCAUUUAUAAAAGGAAAACUAGGAAAUCAAAGGAAAUAAACUAAACAACAUUCAUAUCACUUAUCCAUAUCUAAUAAGAGAAGUUUACAGCCUUUAUAUAUCCUACAAAUCUAAAAUAACUACUCUAAUAACUACCCUAUUUGGACCGAAUGGGCCUUGAGUUUACUACAACAAGUCUGGGCUAGGGGUCAUCAUUUGGCCCGCGGGCCUAAAAGCCCGUGGGCAGCCCAUCGUCCGGAAUGGCCAAAGCUUGGCCGACCCAUAGAAAAGCCCAUCUCGGCCCGGCCCUUAGGGCAUAAGGCCGGGCUAGGGCGGAGGGUUCAAAACCUCGGCCCUGCCUGUUACAUGCCCAUCAAAGCCCGCCCGGCCUGACCCUAAAAAGCCCUUUCAAUUGUUUUAUAAAUAUUUUUAUGGAGUUAUUAGUUAAAUAUGUGAACUAAUUAAUGCAUUAAGUCAUAUUUUAUUUUGAUUUUUUAUUACAUUUAGUUUAAUCAUUAACAAAUCUUAACUUUUUUUUUAUAAUUUUUUUUUUAUUUGAUAAAAUUCUAUUAGAUAUAUGUAUAUAAUAGGCCGACCGGCCUGGCCUAUCUAAAAAGUCCGACUCGACCCAUCUAAAAAAGCCGGCCUGACCUGGCCUAUAAGCCUGUAAGGCCUGGACAUGCGGGUUUUGAUAAUUUUUUAAGUUAGUCCCAUCCUGGCUCGGCUCUAAUAAAAAAUAAAAUAAAUAAAUUAAAUAAAAAAAACAUAAUUGAGGCCCGACCCGAGCCCCUAGCCAGGCGGGCGUUUUUUGAUGAUCAGGCUAUGCCCAGUACAUAAAAAGGCUGUGAAAUACAUCACCUACGUACAUAUGUGAAAGAGGAAUACGAGUUAGUAUCCUAACAGAUUCAGUCACGUUCUCUUCAGUGGGAUUGAGUUGGGCAGUUCUAUCUCAAUUACAGGGAUUUUAACGUACCAAUUAUAUUUAAGGAAACAGAGAGAGUGGUUAAAAAGGGAGAAGGCCCAAGUCCAAGACCCUAGCCCAACUAGAUCCCAGCAGCCGCAAGAAUGGCCGAAAACUAAUCGGAAGAAAGUAGAAACUAAAUAUAUAGUAAUAAAUAAAUUUCCUUUCAGCAGAUGUGCCCUUAAUACUGGAGACAAAGAAAUUUACCGGCACUCUUUAUCAUUACACAAUUAACCAACUGAGAUAUAUAGCACAAAACAUGAAAACUACACGGUGGUCGACGGAUCCGAAAUCCCAUCAUGCAUGAACUUCACUAAUAGUUGAAGCUAGACUUGCUUGCUGUAGCACUCUUCUUAGUGUAGACAGACUUGGUGACCUUGAGCUGUGUUUUGUACUCGGUGGUGUAUCCCUGAGUUUUGUCGACAUACUUGUCUAUCGAGGUGUACUUGGCCUCUUGUUUGUAGCCGGACUGCCCACUGCGGUUGUCCACGAACUCUCCUUCCUUGUAACUUUUAGUGAAGUUACUUGAAGCCCCACAGUACUCGUCGUUGUACGAUGACUUCACCUGGCUUUGCAUUUCGUCGGCGUUGAUGUUUCUCGCCGGAGCAACAGUUAUGAAGCCGCAAUAAGCCUUUUUCGUCAUUCUGUAACUAUAUGAAGACGUGGGUUGUGAUCAUAUGCAAAGAGGGUCUUGUCUUUUAUAUGGUAACAAGUCGGAACAUGGAUAUUAACUAUGAUUUAUGAAGAUGUGGGAAUCAAGAACGUAUAUUGUGAGGAGAGGAGGGGUCUUUUAUCUGUUUGUUUUGAGAACAAAGGUGUAAAUGUCAUUAUCGGUUAUGGUGAAAGAGACCAUCCAACUUUCCCAGUUCUUCAGGUGAGAAAGGAGGGGAAGUUGUUUAACCAAUACUAAUACUAAUGCAUGUCAUACAAGUGUUGUUUUAAGGUUUUACAGUGCAAUGUUUUUUCGUAUACCUAUUUUCAGUUUGUCCUUUAAUGGACUCCUAAAUCUCAAGAAUAAUAAGUACCAUUUAUAGUGCAAACCUAAAGGCUAAAGCUAUGAUUUCUUUAAUUUUUUGAAAUCCUGAAAAAAGUGAAUUAUCAUACUGAACAUAUAUAAGUUCAAUUGUCUGAUAGGAAUUUGCUGCCAGCAGAUAAAGGUAGCGAUCUUUGAAUUGAAACGGCCGGCAUAAAUGCAAAUAUGAUGAUUUAGCAGCUAAUAAGAAUAUAGAGAAACUAUGGUUCGUGCAUGCAGCAACAAAUGAGUUCAAAAACCAAAGCAUGUCUCGACUUUAAUUUUGGUGCUGGCUUUUGCUGGGUCUGUUUUAUCAUUGCUGGGUAUAACCAUUACAAAACAAGGAUGGGUUUGGAAAAUACGUAUAAUCUUUUACGCCUUAGGUGUAUUUAGAUAUUUGUGGGUAUUUAGAAGAACGAAAAGAGAUCGAUGCUGUAGAGCAAGACUAGUUGUAUAACAUUAAGAAAACAUUACUAAGAAAAAAAGGAUUACACAUAGUAAACAAAAGCACGUACGUAACAUAAAUAGAUAUAGAGCAGUGGAUACCAUAGAUCUACUACAGUCUAUUCCCAGGACUCUAACCCAAAGAGACUUCCGUUAAUUCCUUCCCCUACAUCAUUGGAGAUACACUAUUAAUUAACCAUGCCCGCAAUUUGGACAACAGCAUCGGCAGCUGCAACAACAGGUGAAAGAAGAGGUAUGAGCGUUCCGACUCCGAGCACUGGAAGAAUAACAGCAGCUACUGAUGCAGCAGCUGAAAUCCAACGGAAAACCGAAACAAAAGCCCGAAACCACGACAUUGUGACUCAAGGACGACUUCAACUUUACACUCUAGAUUAGUAGACUGAUAGUGAGUCUGAAACUGUAGGAAAGGCUGUUGAAUGUAGGAGGUUUGCGCACUAUAUUUAUAGCAGGUAAUUUAGAUGGGAACCUGUGCAGCUGAGCUCUAUCGGUCUCUUCGUUUAGUGUACCUCUAAUGAACACAUUUAAUUACUUCGAUUCUUUAAAGAUUAACGGCAUGCGCGCGCAUGCGUCUUCAUGCACUGUGUUUUGGAAAUAUGAGACUUUCAUGACAUAAUUACUGCUUCUAGUUUAUUGUGAACGUCAUAAUAUUAUAUUUGUUGCCUUACCCACAGUUUUAUUUCCCAAUUUCCUCUCUUGUUUUUCCAAUUCGCCGGUGAAGAUCAAUUUGGAUUAUUUUCAGAUUUAACAAGAUUGAUUGAUAUCCCUGACGAUGUUUCUAGUUUUCUUUUCCUUUCUCUUACUGGGUUUGUUAUUACUAGCUGAUUUUUAUCGCUGAAAUAGGUUAAUCUCUACACCUCUGCAAGACUGCAACAAACCCAGCAGCACCCUGAUAAGAAUUUCUCUAUUGGGUCUCCUUCUACACCCUGAUGACAACUUUCAACAUUUAAUUUGGUUUUGAUUGAUUUCAAUCCAAAACUUGCUGCGGAUUUCAAUCCCAAUUUUUGUUCGCCUCUUUUGGUCUCAUCAGAGGACGGAGGAGGAAGUUGAUUUCGGUGGGAGAAAAUUUUUUUUCGAUGAAGAAGCCAGUUCUGGGAUUGAUUCACGAGAAAUAAAGAGAAAAUAAAGAAAAAUACUUUUUCAAAAUUAAAAAUAAGAUUAGAGUUAACAGAGUUAUUGUGGUGUUAGGCUAGCGAUGAGAUGUCAAAUUUUAGUUGGUGGCACAGGGUUUUUGGGCAGAGGUGAUGUGCUUCCCCUUAAGAACUAAUUGGAAUAAAUCUUAGCAUCUUACGAGUAGUUAAGACUCAAGAGGCCAACAAAAGGCCAUUUUGCAUUUCUUCUGGGGCUUCUUCUGAAUUUACACCCUGCUCAUAUCCUAUAGAAUGUUCAUUUUGUAACAUUUCACAGUUGUUCACAUCAUCAUAAGUAGUAGUAGUAGUAGUAGUAGUAGUAGUUUAACCUGCUUCAAAUGAUGUUAAUAUAUUAUGCUUCAUUGAUUAAUGAUGUAAUCCAACUUCUAAGAGGUGAUUCUGCAUGCUGAGGUCCUCACUAGACUCGACAGCAAAAUUUGACAGCAAACCUGCAAAAUCAACCAAACCCCAUCAAAAUGUAGUCACUACGCAGAUAGGAAGUUACAUAAAUGUAAGAAUCACUGUGCCAUUACAGAAUCAAACAACCGGGAAACCCUUACCCCCCCCCCCCCCCCCCUUUUCCUAGUCUAGAAAAGCUCAGGUUUAUCUUCCUUUUGUCUGUACAUAAGUUGUGGCUCGUCUUAAAGAUAUUGAAAUGAUCCUCUCAGUAAUGGAGGUAAUCUAGAGCAUGACUCAUAUAUGAAGACCUUAAGGUUACAAUGUCAGGCCAGUUUAUCAUACUAUACCACAGUAAUUGAAAUGCCAACUCCAUGUCUCCCAAAGGAUACAAGGUUUAACACGCAUUGUGCAAUAAAAGAAGAAUAAUGACACCAGGAAAACCCAGCGCACAACUGCACAACUGAAGUUCCAACAUACCAUUCUAUAUUAGUCUAAUAUCUAGGAGAGCUAACUCACUCAAACUUCCUUUCAAAGAGCAGGACCUCUGAUACCAAAUUGUAUUACUAGUUUACCUUAUACGAGUUCUUCCUAAAUUAUCAAGCUAAGUGGCCCGGAGAAAAGUUUUAUCCAUUUUUGAGAUAUUAAUAUACCCAUAUGAUCAAAACCUUAAGUGUGAGUACUGAAAACCCAAGGCCAUCGCCAUGUCUCCAAUAGUAUCCAGCUUUAUCAUACAUCAGAUCUUGCACUGUUCAUUGUUAGAAUGAAUAUCUUUUUCAUGUCUGAAAUUAUAGAAGAAUCAUCUCACCAGUAAAACCUAGCAAGCACAGUUGAAGUUCGUUUAUACCAUUCUAUAUUAAUCUAAUAUCCAGUAGAACUAACAAAGAAACUCAAAUGUCACAAAGAACAGUAUAUGUGCUCUAGGAAGUUGCAUUCACUAGUUUACCUAAUUCGAGUUCUUCCUAAAUGACUAAGUCAAGUGUCGCAGGAAAAAAGUUUUAUUCUUAAAUAAAACCGGUAAUUACAACACCCACAUUGAUUGUAGUUAUGGCUGGAGUUCAGAAAUUUAGUGUAUUCCUGCUCAAGCGGCAGAUGGGCAAUGCAAGUUGAAUGUGAUAUGUUCACUGCUCUGUGCAUUUCAGCUUAUGUUAUUGUUGCCCAGCAUAAAGAUCUCACCUAAUUCAAACCUUACAAGCAGAUACCUCAUCUAAUUUCUCCAACAAAAGAUUUGAAUGCCAUAAUAUCAACUAAAGAACAAUGCAGCUCCGGAUCUACUUCAAGCAUACUUAUAUUCAGCUAACACUACAACUACUCGAUGCAAGAAUAGAAAUGCCGAAAAAUACAACCAUAUUAUCAAUGUAGUGUACCUGAAGCUUGAAGCUCAUCUCAAGACAGGCUUUUGCAGAAGAGCAGUCAAGUAAACCUCCCCAUUCUUCUCAUUCUUACUCGCCGUCGCCCACUUCACUCUCCGGUACCCCAACUUCCCAAUCAACGGCCCGAAAACCUUCUCAAGAUCCACCCCCUUGCUAAAGAAAUGAUCCAACCACAAGUACCCUCCUACCCUCAACACCCUAUCCGCAUCGUACAACAAAAACUCCAACGCCGUCACCGGAAUCCACCUGUUCACCGCGUGCCCGCACCGCACCAGAUCCAACACCCCGUCAAACACGGGGAACCGCUGCUGCAGCGGCACGUGCAGCGGCACCAGCCCCCUCAGCGCCACCGCCUCGUUAUUCGGACUGCCGAAAUUCAUGGUGGUGGUGACAACUGUCACAUUGUAGAGCUUCAUCCUGGCGGCGAAGGUCCCGGUGCCGCCGCCGACGUCCAGCCCGAGGCGGAGGACGGCGCCGGCGGCCUUGGCGAUCUGGAAGAACUGCGGGAUGGGGAGGUCCAGCUCGGACUUGUAGGUCAUGAAGUUGGAGAGCUCGUGGCUGAAGUCGAAGCCGGAGCUGAGGCCACGGCGGUUGAGGCAGCUGAAGCUUUUGCAGGCGUACUUGUCCCAUAUCACAUUCUGAUCCGGGAGAGAGGGAGGGAAAGCGUCGUGGGAGAGCGAUGACGUGGGCUUCUGCGGCGUUCUGGAGAAGCAUCUCCGGCGGGGGAGGGGGUGGCAGCCGCGGAGGAUGAGGCUCUCGGCGACGUCGUCGGCGUCGGCGGGGCAGAGGGAGAAGGGAGUGUAGGUCAUGUACUUGUUGAGGAGGUCGGGGUGGUUGUGGCAGGAGGAGGCGAUCGGGGAGAGGCGGGAGUAGAGGAGGAGGUCGGCGGAGGAGGCGGCGGCGGCGCGUGGGGGAGGAGGGUGGUGGCGCGUGAGGUGGUUGAUGGUGGCGCGUAUGGUUUGGAGCUGGCGGAGGAGGUGGUCGGGGACGGCGGUGUUGGGAGGGGUGGGGGAUUGGAUGGUGGAGGAGAGGUGGUAGAGGGAGAGGAUGUUGGUGGCGACCAUGGCCAUAAGCAGAAGCAAGUUAAGACCCAUUGUGAAACCCAUCUUUGGAAAAAUUGGGUUUCAGAUUUGGAAAGAUUUGAGCUUUUUUCUUGAAGUCAGUGAGCGUUUGACUUCAUAGUGAAGUAAGCAGCUUUAUUAUUACGGUGGAAGCAGUUGCAGAGCCCAGUUGGGGUUAGAUUUGUAAUUAGGAGGAAGUUUGGGGGUGGAAACUGGGAAGAGAGAGUUGCAUCACUUGCAUGGAUUUGGAUUUUGAUUUGGUUUCGUUUGUCAUUUCGUGGGGUUAGUUGGGUCAAAAGUGUGAAAAUAAUUAGAGUGGGAUGGACUGGAGGCACGUGACUUGUUGGACCCACUUGAACCUUUUUACCUUUUUUUUUUAUUAAAUGGGAUUAUUUUUUUUCAUGCAGAAUCUAUUCCAUGAUUUUAUAUUCCUGCCUUUCUGAUUCCAUGAUUAAGAGAAGCAUUUACUGUUUUCCGGGGACGGCUGUUCUUGAGUCCGACGAUGUGUUUAACUCCGGAACUAGAAAGAUGUGUUUUAAUCCGAGUCCUGUAUCUUGUAGCGAAUCCUGGUAACCACAUAAAGCAUUAGAGUGAUUGGUUUAUUUAUGAAUAUAUGUUACAUGGAGUUUAAUUGUCUUAAUUCAUACAGAUCAAUGAAGUCACACUAAACACGUCUUUAGAUUUUCUUACCAAAAUUUUAAAAUAAAAAGACAAGCUUUUAUGAAGCAAAGAACACCAAAGUUAUGAGUGAAGGAUAAUGAAGAGAACAAAAUCACAUAGAAGUGCAAACUAAGAGUUGAUCUUAAGUUUGGCUUUCAUAUAUUAUCAUCAAAUCAAGUGAGCGUACACUAUUGCUUUACGCGAUACUGUUUUUCAGUGAGCUAUGAUAUGUUAGUAAGUUAUAAAUCCAACAUAUCAUAAGUUGGAAUAUUCUCACUCAUACAUUUAAGUUGAGUGAGUGGUUAAGAGUUUUUUGAAGUGGUAAAAAUUAGCUUCUACCCUUUAAUUACAUAAGUGAUAUAUAUAUAGUUCCAUUCAAGACUAGGACACCGUUUUGAAAAUUAAAAUAUGGUGUUCUUCAUUUCGCUCAUUUUUAGGUCAUAUUUUCACAUCUUCACCGUUCAAUGUCUAGAACAUAGUGUGUAGAUCAUUCCUGUAAAAUUUCAUCCAAUCUAGAGAUCAUUUAGGUACCGAAUUAGAUUAAAUGAAUCAACUGAACAAAAUAUGUCCAAAAUCUCCAAAUUGGAUUACCCUAAACGUUUAUUAAGACUCUGGAAACAAAACUGGAUUGUGUUCUACUACUACGUGUAUAGCAAUGGGCCGAUAUAGGGACGAUACAACCUAAAUGGAACGAAUCCAAUGAACUGGGCUUUUUCGUUCUUGUUUUUCUAUACCAAAGCUUAUAUACACUUUCUGAGUGCUGCGUGCAACAGUACAAUCUGUAUAUAAAGAUCUCAGACUCCGCGUCCGACAAACGCAAACGCAAACACAAACACAAACUCAAACUCAAACUCAGCCGGACUUAGAUCUAUCUCUACUCACAACUUGAAUCAAUGGUAAAUUCUCUCCCUCACUUUCAGUUUUCCUUUUACUUCCCACUAGAUAAUUUUGCCAUACUUUGAAUUAGGGCUAUGAAUGUUUUUAACUUUUCAUAUUCAGAUUUCCACUAAUUAUAUAAAUUAUAGCUGGGUUUUAAUCAAUCUGUACUCUUUUAUGGUCUUCAAUAUGGAUUGGGAGCUGAAAUUGAGUAGGCUGAUAGUACCCAGAAGCUUUGCGGUCUUUUAUAUAGUUGUAGUUAUCUGGGUUAGCUAUGUUAUAUUGUUAUUGGGUUUUCUACUACCAGCCACAGAAAGUAAUCAACUUUGAGGAAUUACAAUCACUAGAGUUUGUGAAACAUGGUCUGAAAGAGUUAGGUAGUUAGUUCUAUACUUCUAUCCUCCAGUUCAGGCUCAUAAGUAAUGGGUUUGGAAUUGUGCAGGAGUUGGCUCAUGUAAUGAUAAGUGAAGUUAUGAACCUUUUGCAGUCUUGUAAUGCAAUUACGGUGCUUUAGAAAGCACACAGAACUGUAUGGUUUAGUUGUCUGGUUUGUCAAGCAAUGAACCAGUUCAUGUUCUCAACCAUGCCUGGCUAGAUAUCAAAGUUAACUUUUUCAAAUUGAUCGGAUAACCAGAAGCACUGCCUUCUUUCCCUUGUUUUUCUUGUAAGUCUAUACAUGUAAAUGAAUGGAAGUCAAAGACUAUAUGUUAUUUAUAGUUGGCAUAUUAUUUCAAUUAUGUGUUUUUUUUUAGUAUGAUUGGGUUUGUUAGCUAUUUGGUUUCCCUGUCAUUGGAUGUUCGUUCUUUAACUUUAUGAAUUCCGUUAUUAGGCUGAUCCCGAACUCGAAGCAAUCAGACAGAGGAGAAUGCAGGAGCUUAUGGCUCAACAAGGCGCUGUAAGUACAACUUAGUUUAUCUGAACAUCUGUGCUACAAAAAGAGGUUGUCUUCUUGGCGCUUUUGUGCUGACCUCACUACUUUAUAUUGAUAAGCAGGGAGGAGCCCGAGGGCAGCAAAAUACUGAACAGCAGAAGGCAAAUGAUGAUGCCAAGAGGUUGGGUUUUAAAUUAACUUUGGGUGUUACUUCUUUUUCUUUUGUUCUGAUAAUGUUCUUAAUAAUCUCAUAACAUAAGGCAAAUAAAUGUAGGGAGGCAGAAGAACGGAGACAGAUGAUGCUUAGUCAGAUUUUGUCAUCUGAAGCUCGUGAAAGACGUAAGUUGAUAUCUGAAAUUGGCAGUUGAUUUUCUAAUUAGUUUUACCCUGUAUUUUCCUUUAUUAGUCAUCUAUUAAGGACAAAACUAUUUCUGAUUUAAUAUGUUUGGAACUUUGGAUCACUGUUAUUGACUAGUAAAUAUAAUGUAGAUGUCUUGGAAGGAUAUUUAGUUUUUUCAAAACUAAGAAUGACGGAGAAGAUGCUAUCUUGAUAAGUUAAUCUGUGGCAACGAUCUGUUGCAGUUCAGUCAAAUGCAUAAUAAGUGCAAUUCAUAACUUGGCUAGGGUACUUAUACAUUAUCUUAUACGUAAUGCUAUGCAUUUGUAGUUGCUCGAAUUGCUUUGGUGAAACCUGAGAAGGCAAGAGGUGUUGAAGAUGUCAUAUUGAGAGCUGCUCAAAUGGGCCAAAUAGCUGAGAAGGUAUGGUUUAUGGUUCUCACAUCCUCAUCUGUCUUAUGGUGGCCCAUAGUUUUCUAUUUUUCUCGCACCAAAGCUUUCAUAAGAGCUCAUCUAUAGAAGAAACAAAGUGCUUAGAAUUCAAUUGUCAGGUCUCCGAAGAAAGGCUUAUUUCAUUGUUGGAACAGAUCAACAACCAAACAACCAAGCAGACCAAAGUCACUGUAAGUUUCAAUUCAUGACGACCUUCAUUUGUUUCCAUUUCCAUGAUAAGCGAUUCUGAUUUGGCCUUGUGUUGCUUUCCGUUUUCCAGAUUCAGAGGCGUAGGAGUGUUCUCGAAGAUGAUGAUUGAUUUGAAUUUGUGCGUUACAGUUGAAGACUUUGGCUGUAUAUUGAAACAUAAUGCACUUUGAAACAUAAUGCACUUGUUAUUGGGUUGUGAAAUAUUUUACUGUUCUUUCUUCAAUCUUGAUAUUCGUGAUAUGCUCUAAUACAAUAUUGUAUGGGAAGAAAUUUUUCACCAAUUAUUGUUUGAAGCCUUGUGAAUUUAAUUGAAAACUGGUCACUUGGAAUGGAAUAACAUUCUAAACUGAUUACUACCGACUCUCAACGCUUGAUUCUAGAUUUCAUUUUAUAUCAAAAGGUUUACCCUUAGUUGUGUUUUUGUGGCUUAGAUUUCAUUUUAUUAGAUUUCAGUCUAACAGGGAUACAUAACCCCUGAUAUUUGGUGCACAUUCAUGUCUGCGUCUGGUUGAUUGACUCUUAUUUUUUCGUGUUUGGUGUGAGACCAAAAGUCCAAAACUUCCGACAUAUGAUUCAUUAAACCAUGUUUCCUAAGAAAUAUAUAUCAGAGGAGGUAGUUUUUAUAAAAAUACAACAAUGAUGGAGAAAAAUUGAGAGAAGUUUAACUGAAGUUGAAGACAUCAAAAGGGUUAGCAACCUAAAUACUAAAAACAAAUGAGAGAAUAUACGUCAGCCUUAAGCACCAUUUGUAAGAAAGAAUAACCGUUAGAUGACACGAUCAGAAACUGAAGGCAACCAUUUGAUUGGAUAGGACAUGACACACGAGAUUUUUAUGAGGGAAAUCUGUAAAUUAUUUCACGAGUAAAACAAAUACAGUGUAAAAGAAACUAGGUAUUACAAGACUUUGAGAGAAAUCUUGAGUGAAGAGUUGGAAUCAAAAUCUUGUGUAAAGAUUUUGAAAUUCUGAGUAGAGAUUUUGAAUCGAAGAUUUGAGUAAAUACUGGAAUUUGAUAUGAGCACAAAGUGCUAUGUUUAUAAUGUAUUUCCUACCCUAUUUAGUUAUAAUAUUCUCAUAAUGUUAUUUCUAACAUGUUUUGUGAUUGUAGAGGCAAUGAAUCGAGAAAAAAAGGCUAAAUCGCGGAAAUAAGAGAAAAAUACAGAAAAAGGCAAAUAAGCCCUUCUUGCAGUCCAAGGAAGGAAGGAGAAGUAAAUUUGGAUUCUAAUUCCAAAGAAUGAAGGAGAAGUAAGUUUGGAUAAAAGAAAAGAGAAAAGUCAAACAUGUGCACCUAGUCCCACAUUAUUUUGGAAGAAGAAAUAAAUUUGGAUUUGUCACACCCCGGUCCCGACGUCGACGGGUUUUAAGCACUAGACGUCGAUCCUGAGGCGUGAACGAGUGUUACAAAGCGAAAUGUAAACAAAAGUACUAUCUUCUAAACUCGUCGUCUACCCUUUUCCCGGCUUGGUACAACCUAAGUACUUUUUCUGCAAAAAAUAUUAGAAAUGGAUGGGUGAGCAAAACCACGCGCUCAGUGAGUAGACCAAUGUAAUAUGCCCGCAAAGCCAUGUCAUUUUACACACGCUACAAAAUACGUAUAUCGUAUACACAUCACUUCACACAAUUCAUCACAUCGCACAAUCCCUUCUUAUUGGAUAUCCUUCAAUUUAGUGAUCCCCAUGGGAACCUAAUGACCUUCAAGUCUUAUACCUCCGUGUGUCACAUCCUUACUUCGGCAUAACCAAUCAAGAAGUUCACAUGUUCCAUGACUAAUCAAACAAUGGAUCCAACACAUAAUUAUAUAUAAACACUGCAUAUUUUGCAAAUAGACAUGGUUCACUUGAAAUAGAGAGAUAUUUCGUAAAUAGAUCAAAAUCAUGUUUUUCGACUAUUGUGAUAACAAAUAAGAAUAUUUUAAAUAUAUUACACAAAUCCACUCACCUCGUCAACACGAAUCCCUACCAAGAACAUCGAUUGUAAACCGAGCCUCCUAAAAUGAGUCAUCUAGAAAUCACCGUUGGAUCUAGCUCAAAAUUCUAGGAUAGAAAGAGGACAUCGAUACGUACCCGUAGCAUCUCGCGAAUUCAGAAUCGGAGUUAUGGAUCAAAAAUUAUAAUCCGCCAAAGUUUAGUCGCAAAUCUAGAGAGAGAAACUAAUUAAAGANNNNNNNNNNNNNNNNNNNNNNNNNNNNNNNNNNNNNNNNNNNNNNNNNNNNNNNNNNNNNNNNNGAGAGAGAGAGAGAGCGUCAGAAUUGAGACUUUUUUUUUUAGAGAAUUAUUUAUUAAGACUUGAGAGAGAAAAUUGGGGAAAAAUUAAGAGAUAUAGAGAGAGCGUACGUAUGUAUUCUGUCUUUCUUUUUGUUAUUUUAUACGCGUCACACGUAUUUUUAACGUGACGCACUUCCAGCUAUAUUAUUUGCAUUUUCUAUUAUGCCCCUACUUAUUAGUAUCUUUAUAAAACAAAACAAAAAAUAUUAAUAAAGGGUAAAACUGGUAUUAUCUGAAAACUGAAAAUAACUAUCCUCAUUUCCUAUUUCAUUUUUUUCUACCAUAUGCUCUCAAAUCUAUCGCUCUGCCAUAAGUUCUUAAAUCAAUCUUUUUGCCUGAAAAUCAAAUUUAAAAAGAUUCUCAUAAACCCUAAAUCAUGUACUUAUAUAAUUGCACCCCCGAAAAAGGUUCAAAUUUAGACCUAGUCUUGAAUCUCUGUAGCCUAACUCUUUCUUUUGUCUUUGUUAAUCGACAUCAUCAUGAUUUCGAGUUCGAAAUCGAAGCCUCAAUUAAGUAACGAGGCAUUCAAUGUAAACAUUAUUAGGCUAUUAAGUAUAACAUAUCAUCUUGCUUUAAAGGAUUCCAAUCGGAAGUGGUAGAGAACAGUUUCAUUCAGCUUGUUUUCACUUCUGCUUAUUUCAUUAUGUGUUUACACACGUUACCUUCAGUUUUUAGUCAAGUACCAAAAACCAAGAGCUUUUCCUUUCCUUAGAGGAAUCAAAAGCAACCACAAAAUUAAAUAACAAUGAUAUAAAGAGCUCAUAGCAUAUGAUCCAGCUGAUAAACCAGUUGAGAUCUACAACAUGAAUUAAGAGAGCAAAAUCGUGUGACCGUAUCAACAUCGAAACAACUUAAAGUCCACUGCAGUGGCACAGAAAUCAUUUGAGAAGGGUUCUGGUUAAAUGUUCUCUUGCAACAGCCCAUGCUUGAGUUAUAGUCUGCAAAGUUUGAAAAUUAGGAAAGCAGGAUUAGAUUAGUUUCUACUUUCUACCGCAUUUUAAUUGAAAACACUUUUGAGUAUCUGAAAUCCCUAUUAGCAGUACCUAGAAGCCCCUUAAUCUAUUUGGUUUCAACUAAGCAAACGGAAAGUUUUGCAUUACCUGCUCAGCCAAUGGUGCAUCAGCAUCCAUGGUAUGAGUUGCCACCUUUCCUGCGAUAAUAGUUGGAUCUGUUUCAAGUAUCAUCCUGCAAUAUAAGUCAAGCACAUGAGAUCGAUGUAUAAUCAUAUACUCGAUGACAGAACUAAGAUCAAGAAUCUUAUUGCACACCCUCCAUCAACAAUCUCAUCAAAGCACAGAAGUAUGAGAUCUAGGUUCUCCAGUGCCUCCCUUUUAUCAACAUUGUUCCUGCAAGUAGGACAAGCAUGAAUAUAUAGCACAAAAGGUCCAAGAUAAAUAAUGUUGAAAGGUAAAAGGAGUUCAAGGAAAAUGUUAUGACGUCCAAGUCUACCUCAAGAGAAGGGCAACUGCAUCAAAGAAUCCCUGAAGGACAGUGGCUAAAAUGAGUUCGUUUUCAUCGUCACUUCCAGUCACAAAGAAGUGAAGGUCCUGCAUAAACCUAUAUACAACAACGUUGCUUUCGAACAUCAUUAUCUCCGCUGCAUAAGAUAUACAAUAGCAAAUUGUAAAUUAAGGUACUACAAAUGUGGUGAUAUAACAUGACUUCCUGUAGCAUAUCGACAACAUGACUUGAAUGAAAUCAUUGUUUUCAUACAUUCAAUCCUUGCAUUUGUCUUAAGAGUCUUAGUGAACACAGAUUUUUCAAAAACUAGCUUUGCACCAUUUGUUGGCCAAUCAUCCGAGUAAUACUUGACCGCCACACGCUUCCCUUCAGAGUCCAUAAGAAGAAUGUUCUUCACAGAUGGGCGUGAAUCCUGGAAAAUAUAUAAAGGUGGAUCAGAACAGCAUGCAUAAAGAUCACUCAAUACAAAUUCAUACGCAGUUAGCCUAUAGCUAAUGAAUUCAUACUUUCAUCCAUAAAAAUCAUAUUGUGCCAAAAGUCUGUCUAAUCUAACUAAGGUUCUAAUAAUAGAUCCUGACUAUAUCCUUGGAUCUUAAAAUCUGAUUGAACAUCAGUUACAAUUGGCCAAAUCAACAUAAUUUGUUAAUAACUUAAUACACAUCAGUUGGUGACUUCAGCCUUCAGGUAUCAAUUUUCAAGCGUAAAAAAGAUCUAUAAUUCAAACUUGAUCGUUUUGCUCGUAAUCAGAGGAACUUCAAAGAUCUAUUGACGUGAGCUCAAAAUGAUCACAUCUUAUUUCCCAAUCAAUUAUACUAAACAAAUCGAUAGAGGUAAUAUGGAUUGGAAAAUGAGACUUACACGGUAACCGAAGAUACACUCCAUUUUGAUGUAAUGAUGAUACCUGAGACUUGGACACUUCGGUUCAGAUAUAUAUACCUUUUUCUUUAGAGGAAUGGAGAUGGGUAGUUUUGUCAGUUUAUUUAACUUUCUUCUACUGCUUUCCAGGAAAAAAAAUAAUUUUGCGUCUUGAUUUAUGUUUCAAAAAAAAAAUAAUCAAAAGUACGCAGUCCUGACUGUCUGAGAUAAUACAUACAAUUAAGAUUAUUCUUCUAUUUUACAUCUUCUUUAAUCUUGAUAGAUUCAUGUAUGUACUAUAAAUUUAUAUACAAUCUUGAUAGAUUUACUCUUCUUAUACCAUAGAUUUAAAAAGGAAGAAGAAUGAUGUCAUAUGUGGUGAACGGAAAGCCUUGGUUUUUUGGACACUAUGUCUGUAAUGGCGAAUGUUUGUAUGACUGUCUGUAAUGACGAAUGUUUGUAUGACCCGGCUAGCGAGUGUACCGAUCUCAACAUUCAUUGAAUAGGUUGAGAUAUUCCGAUUACCAUGACUAGAUAUACGAUGACGAUGGAUGGUUGGGGAAACUCUUGGUUAGGUGGAGCAGUUGGAUGAGAAUGAGAUUAAAUAAGACACCAGAGCUAAGGUCAGACUGAAUGGGAUGAUCCACCCUGACACCUAUUAAGUUGUUUUGCAUGAUUCCUUUACCAUGAUUAAGAUGGUGGAUUAUACUCUUAUCGUUGCCUUUUUUUUAAUAACUUUUUUUAAUAACUGACCUCAUUAUCUCAUAUUCAUAUAUCGAUUACAUGACUUGCAGCUCUAUUGCUAAUCUAAUUUCAUGUUCCUUCAAGAUAACAAAAUAUCUUCAAUAGUCAAUACACGACAUUGCCGUGUAUCUACAACAAACGAAAAAAAUAUGAAAAACUUGACCAUCAACGACAAACGAAAAAAAUAUGAAAAACUUGACCAUAUCGUAUGGGAAGUUGCAAAUAAGAAAAAAUUUCGAUACCUCACGGUCAUGACGUAUAUAUAUUUUGACGAAGUGAUUAACCUCCCAGGUUCCAAAGUCGCGCGUGAUCGUAGCCUCCUCCUCUGAACUAGCCGAAUCUCCUGACUACACUCACAUCUCAACCUUUUCCUUUCCUUAAACUCCCACAACCUUUGUACCUCUCCAAAUCUCUUCUCCACUUUUGCUUUUUUGCUUUGUCUCUUCUCCCCACUUCCCAACCAAACCAAUCACAUUUCCUCUCUCAAAGAUCACACCUUUCCCCCUAAAGUUUCAAUCUUUCACUUUUUCCGGCGACACCCAACUCCCCGGAACCACUUUCCGGCCGACCCAGAAUGGACAAAGAGCCUCUACUCCCCUACACAUCAAGCCCACGAAGAAAGCUCCCAUCUUUAACCACCCUCUGGCCUUUGCCGGAACACGACGAAGUCCCCGUCCCCUUAACCCCGUUGGAGUUUAAAGACCGCAUCAUCUUCGGCUCCCCCGCCGCCGCCACCGCCACUUCUUCUUCGCCGCAUGACUCGUCUCCUCUGGUCGACGCCCUCACUCUCUCUCUCAAUUCUCCAAGACUCUCUUCGAGGCCCACAUCCUCGUCUUCUCUACUGGACCCCACCACCGCGCCGCAGCCGCAGGGGGACCCACAAACGCCGCUGAGCUGGCUGAUCGACCCGAACUACUCAUGGACCAAGACCAACCUCCACAGGUCCAAGACGGCUCCGGCAAUGGCGGUUUUGAACGAGGUGAACCGCCGGGCCGGGCCUAAGCCUCAGAUGAGUUCACAGUCUAUUGUGAGGCAAGCUGUGAUUCUUCUUAUUGCGUAUUUGACAUUAGGGGUGACUAUAUAUUGGUUUAACCGUGAUAAUUUCGAAGCGAGUGAGACUCACCCUGUUGUGGAUGCUCUGUAUUUUUGCAUUGUGACAAUGUGCACUAUUGGGUAUGGGGAUAUCACACCCAAGACUACGGCUACCAAGCUGUUUUCAAUAAUGUUUGUGUUGGUGGGGUUCGGGUUUAUUGAUAUAUUGCUUAGUGGGAUGGUGUCAUAUGUGCUUGAUUUGCAGGAGGGUUAUUUGCUGAGGAGUGUGAAGGGUGUGGGGGAGAAGAAGGAGUCGUAUAUUAUUGAUGUGAAGAAGGGGAGGAUGAGGAUUCGGAUGAAGGUGGGACUGGCAUUGGGGGUUGUGGUGCUUUGUAUUGGUGUUGGUGCUAUGGUGAUGCAUUAUGUGGAGAAGUUAGGAUGGUUGGAUUCGUUUUAUCUCUCGGUUAUGUCUGUAACGACUGUGGGGUAUGGUGACCGGGCUUUUCAGUCUGUGCAGGGUCGGUUGUUUGCUUCAGUUUGGUUGCUUGUGUCCACACUCACGGUUGCUAGAGCCUUUUUGUAUUUGGCUGAGGCAAGGGUGGAUAAACGGCAUAGGAGGAUGGCAAAGUGGGUUCUUGGCCAGGAUAUGACUGUUUCCGAGUUCCUUGCUGCUGACAUUGACAAUAAUGGGUUUGUGAGGUAUGUGUUUUUACCAAACCUUUUGACAUUUUGAUCAGAUGAGUUGUUUGAGAUUGUUGGCUUUGUUUAAUUGACCUACAAUGAUGAUGGUGUAAAAGUUAUUUACUUCAUAGAUUGCAUUGUUUUGCUCUGAAUUCUUUAUGUGCUGUUUAGUUGUACUGCAUUUACCCAUUACUUUAGGUUUUGUAUGAAAGAAACAUGAAUACAUGUUAAGCAACUUGUAAUACAUUUUCUGCUUUGUUAGAAACACAGAUGAUCACUCCUUUCUCUAGUUAUCAAGUAUGAGAUUGAGUGAAGAGCCCUUUUUGUAAUAUAACUGCCCAGAAUUAGAUAGUUUAUUUUACAUUUUCCAACUUCUAUAAGUUCAACUUUGUGGUUUGUACUCAUAUGAUGCCGAAUAAGACAUCAGUUAUUAGAUUGUGUUCAAAGUGUUUCAGGGUUGGUGUGUCUUCUCAUUUCUUGGUACGUGUAUGUGUGAUAUGAAGGAGACCAAUGAAGUCAUUAAGGUGGAAUAAAACAGAUAAGAAUCAUAAGAUACUUUAGGUGAGUCUUUAUCAUAGCAUCCCCAUAAGCACAAUAGUCGCUUCUUUGGGAUUUGAGCAAGUCUUAAUAACAUAAUGCCACCACAAGUGAUACAAUACGUAUAGGACUCUGAGCACGAAAUUCAUCAUAGUGAAAUUUGAUUAGGGUGUCUCUGAUAAGAAUUGGCUAUAUGUUUUUCUCUUAUAAAUGAUACACAUUUGAUAGUGGGUAUCAACUCCGGAUGCGUAUGCUUUGGUAUCUUUCUGCCCUUUUGAGUUUGAUGUCAGGUUGGUAAUGGGCAUAGUCUAGUAAUGUUCAGUUUUGCUUGUGUAUUGAACAUCAGAGUCUGUACGUUCUCCACUUUGAGAAAAUUGUUUGGUUUCUCAUGUGAAGAGAAACAUUGUGGACAAGUCUGCAAAUAAUUUUGGAUGCCACAAAGUCAGGGCCUUGUGUCUAAGUCCAACUGAUCUGGGACAUAUGAACACUUGGUAGCAUAUGAAAUCUAUCAUUGCCAUUAUUGCAUAAUAGGCCCUGAGAACAGAGUAUAUGAUCUGAAUUGCAUCUUUACUUCAGAGCUGUCUUUUGCCCACCUUUUCAACUAAAGAACAUAUCUACGAACCUCCUGCCCUUUCUUGUGUUUGGAACUCAUGUUGCACAUAUCUCUCGUGUUCUUUAUGGACAAAAUGAUUACUCCUGCUCUUCUUUUUUGCAAUGUAAGCACUACUACUUUCCUGAUUCUUUUCCUCUAUUUAGAGGCUCCAAAGACAAAUUCAGUCAAUGAACUUAUUCUGUACAUGGUUGGCUCUUAGUAGAUGUGGCCAAAGGUCAAAUACAAAUUGUGAAGCCUUAUUGAACAUCCAGCACUGCCAACUUGGGUGUAUAGGCUAGAACUACUAUUGUAUUGCGCCUUUCUUCUUCUCCUAAUUAGUAGUUACUCAUAUUAUUUUGCAUGUUCUUGAGCUCAGUAAUCUGAUUUGGUGUUUUAUAUGAAGUACCUAUUAUAACAAUAGUUUGGAUGACAGGUUGAAAGAGGUACCAACUUACUAUUUUUCUGAAACCAGAGUUCUUAUUUGACUGCCCAACUUCAUAAACUUUUGAACCAUCAUACGUGAGUAGUUUAUGUGCGUUUCAGAUAUUAUAAUGUAAAAGUGAAGCUUGUUGGUUGCUAUUAACCAAUAGUUGAAGAGUCUUUUUCAGUCUGAAUAGUGUAUCUGAAUAAUCUGGAGUCAACAGAUUGCAGAAGAUGGGGAUUAUUUUCAGAUAACAUGCAUAUAAUCUGCUUCUUUGAACAUGCCUUAAUACGUUUUAACAUUUCCAUUAUCUGUCUAUACCAUUAUUUUCUACAGAAGUAUUCCAUACAUAUUGGAAUGCAAAGGUUUUGCUUUAGAUUUCUUGCGCAUAAAUGUGACAUAUUUUUUUUUAACUAAGAUCUAUAUGGAAUGUCUAUAUUGGUAAACUGUCUAUGAGUUGCAACUAAUAUAUUGAUCAUUUAUAGUUAUUAUUUGUGUAUGCUCUUAGCAGUCAACCUUUUGCCAUUAGUGACCAUGAUGUAUUCUAGAAAACUGGAGAUGAACCCUGCUUAUGAUAUUCUCAGUGCUACCGUACUAGGCAAUAACGUGGUUUCAACCAUUGUUUUCUUGUUGUCAUGAUUUAGUUAUGUUAUCUAGCACACCAUGAUAGCUUAACAUGGUGUGCUAGUUUCCUUGGCUGACUUUAUUUGUGUGUAUAUAUAAAUAAAUAAAUAAUUAAAUAAAUCUACGUCUUGUUGGACUGUCUUUGCUUUGUCUUCAGCACCUUAAAUUAUUUGCUUGCUUAUUUUGACUUGCAGUGAUCCGCAACUAGGCAAGUUUUUGUUGGCUAAUGAUGUUGUUCACUUGUUUGUAUAUGCAGCAAGUCAGAAUAUGUGAUAUACAAACUCAAGGAGAUGGGAAAGGUAUCAGAGAAAGAUAUUAUGCAGAUCUCCAACAAAUUUGAUAGGUUAGACUCUGGGAACUGCGGAAAGAUAACGCUUGCCGAUCUUAUGAGUCGUCAUUGAUAUCCAAGCACCUUUUAUUCCUUUUCCUCAUGGUACAGCAAGGGAAGAAAAUACGUUAUCUCAUUGAACAUGACGUAUAAGAAGCCUGAUCUUUAUGUAGGACUCGCCGUUCAUAUACAAGUUGCAUACACAUGAAAUCAUGAAGUAUGAACUCUGCUGCCUGAUCAAUUGGUCCUCCUUUCUAUACAUCCUGAGCAUCAGCUUGGUCGUUCUUAUAUGAUCAGCUACAUCGAUGCAUUUCUUGAGUAAUACAAACAAGCUAACAACAAAGGUUAUUGCAUAUUCCAGAAUUGCUCAAGUGACGGGAGAAGUGAAACAGAAAAUUGAAAUCACUUUUUUGAGUCUAGACAGAAAAUAACUGUUGACAUAGACUGGCUGUCCUUGUUUUUCUUGGAGAAUUUUGAAGAUUAAUAGCUUAGAAAUCAACAGUAUGUUACUUUUGAUUAGAGUUGAGCCUGUCCUUCUGGCUUCCAAUUGUAAAUGAUUGCAGCUUUGGAUCAAUGAAGGUGAGGCCUUGAAUCAGCACUACUAACAAACCACAAGAUUUGUUUUUAAGUUGGUUGAAUAGCUUGAGAAGGGUGAAACAAUUUUACAAAUUGGAAAUUAUCGCAGUGUGUGACUGUUUGAUUUGGAUAUGGGUUCCUGAAGUCUCCUCUAUCUUUUGGUUUAUUGGUGGGGGAGAAAAUGAAAUGCACUCAUCAUAUUUGAUCAUAAUGAACCCAAAAGGUGCGAGUGUGUAACUACCUCAACUCCUGGUUUACCACUUUCUGUCCCUACUGUCUCAUAUGUUUGGUAUGACAGAAACCCUAAUCUUAUAGUAGAAGAAGAUGAAAGGUAGUCAGCCUUGGUGACCAUGUUGGUAUCAAAAGCUUGAUGAUCAAACCAAUGCCAUUCAUAAUCUAUUGCGACUUUUAUGGUAAAAUUGAAUUGAAAGUAGACUAACUACCUAUAUAUAUUGCUUUAUUCUUGUCCUCUACAAAAGUUCCUUUCAGAAGUGUUGAACAGGACCUUUGUUGUUACUAGAAGAACCUUUCCUUGAAGCUUUCUAUAGCAAUGCACAGAAAGCUAGUUCAUACCUCUAAUAGAGUAAUAACAAGACGAACAAUUAGACUGUCUAUUGGAUUCUAAUGAUGAAGUAGACUCUCCUCAGUGUUCUUGAUCUUGAUCUUGACUGGGAAGCAAAGACUGUGUCCUUUGAAUUCAUAGCGUUUACCCAUAAAGGAGAACAAAAACUUGAAAGAAUGCAAACUAAACUAAAAUAUACCAAGUCAGAUUGACUCACUGCCACUCAUGACAAGCAGAUGACUCCAUCAAAGAAGCAAUAAGUUUCUGAUUUGGUAAAUAAAGGUCAUUUGCUUCAUUUUUUAUUCACCAGUUAGUGAAAUGGUGG
This 23151-nucleotide long non-coding RNA is filed under the name Fragaria vesca (wild strawberry). RNAcentral's name for it is "long non-coding RNA (FVES_LNC001167)". The record is from RNAcentral. Lineage: Eukaryota; Viridiplantae; Streptophyta; Magnoliopsida; Rosales; Rosaceae.